UACGUAGGGGGCGAGCGUUGUCCGGAAUCAUUGGGCGUAAAGAGCGUGUAGGCGGCUUGGCAAGUCUGACGUGAAAGCCCGCGGCUCAACCGCGGAUUGUCGUUGGAAACUGCCUCGCUAGAGUCCGGAAGAGGAGAGCGGAAUUCCUGGUGUAGCGGUGAAAUGCGCAGAUAUCAGGAGGAACACCGGUGGCGAAAGCGACGUGCUGGACCUUUUCUGACGCUGAGGCGCGAAAGCCAGGGGAGCAAACGGG
Molecule: ribosomal RNA, 253 nt
Filed under: uncultured bacterium
Lineage: Bacteria
Description: partial 16S ribosomal RNA
Rfam family: Bacterial small subunit ribosomal RNA
Source: RNAcentral